UGCCAGCCGCCGCGGUAAUACGGAGGGUGCAAGCGUUAUCCGGAUUUAUUAGGUUUAAAGGGUCCGUAGGCGGAAAUUCAAGUCGGAUGUGAAAGCCCUGAGCUUAACUCAGGAACUGCAUUCGAUACUGGAUCGCUAGAGUAUAUUAGAGGAUAGUGGAAUUUCAAGUGUAGCGGUGAAAUGCGUAGAUAUUUGAAGGAACACCAAUGGCGAAGGCAGCUAUCUGGAAUAAUACUGACGCUGAGGUACGAAAGCGUGGGGAGCAAACAGGAUUAGAUA
This 279-nucleotide ribosomal RNA is filed under the name uncultured bacterium. RNAcentral describes it as "partial 16S ribosomal RNA". It matches the Rfam family "Bacterial small subunit ribosomal RNA", at positions 506 to 784 of the family's 1533-position model. The record is from RNAcentral.